CAGCAGCCGCGGGAAUACGUAGGGUGCAAGCGUUAUCCGGAAUUAUUGGGCGUAAAGAGCUCGUAGGCGGUUUGUCGCGUCUGCUGUGAAAACUGGAGGCUCAACCUCCAGCCUGCAGUGGGUACGGGCAAACUAGAGUGCGGUAGGGGAGAUUGGAAUUCCUGGUGUAGCGGUGGAAUGCGCAGAUAUCAGGAGGAACACCGAUGGCGAAGGCAGAUCUCUGGGCCGUAACUGACGCUGAGGAGCGAAAGCAUGGGGAGCGAACAGGAUUAGAUACCCCCGUAGUCCCUGUCUCUUAUAC
This 301-nucleotide ribosomal RNA is filed under the name uncultured bacterium. RNAcentral describes it as "partial 16S ribosomal RNA". It matches the Rfam family "Bacterial small subunit ribosomal RNA", at positions 509 to 807 of the family's 1533-position model. The record is from RNAcentral.